CAGUACUAGGGCCGUUACUUUUCACACUUUACAUGUUACCCCUGGGAGAUUAGAUUAUGCAGAUGACACUCAGCUCUAUAUUUCUUCACGGCCCGGCAAACAUACCAAUUUGAAAAAUGAACGGAAUGCAUUGUCGAUAUAAAAACUGGAAGACGGGUCAUUUCUUACUGAUAAAUUCUGAAAAAAACAGAGAUGUUAAUAGCAGGGUUUCAGUCACAUGAUUAUGAUGAUGCGCAUGGGCGGGAAGAAGGCAGAUGGAGGGCAGGAAGUAAACAUGGAGAAUACGUCUAUAGAGGAAACUGUUGCAGAGAGUCAGUAUUGUACGGAUUUAGAUCCAGUUUCGAGACAUAGAUACAAGGAGUUAAUUAACAGAUAUGUUGGACAUGACCCGCACCUCAUGAAGAUGAAUGAGUUUUCAGUAGAACUGAAAGAUUUACCGACAGUUGAGGCUGUUGACUUCACCAACUAUCUGGUCCUUCAGACAUUGUACUACACCAGACAGCAAAUGAAGGCCUAUAAAAGUCUGGAGGCAUACAACUUUUUUGUCAACAGGUGGGUCCACAACCUCGGUGUCAAACGGCUCCACGAUGAUCAUUGUUUGGUCUUUGCCAGAGUAAACCACUCUCAGAGGUCAAGCGACACACCUCUGAAGACCUAGAUUAUUGCGAAGGAGGAUGGAGAAGUCAUUGCAGCUCAUUGCAAUUGCAUGGCAGGGUACGUAAUGGAGAAGUCAUUGCAGCUCAUUGCAAUUGCAUGGCAGGGUACGUAAUUUGGCUAGAUUGUUUACAACGAGAUCUCACACACACACACACACACACACACACACACACACACACACACACACCGUACUGGUAGCAUACUGUGUACUUCAGAACCAGCGGAGAGAGAGCUUUAAGGAAUAAAGAUGUUGAUUAAUGUAAAAUGCUACUCCAUCCAUAUUAGUAUAAGUAGGCUAUAUUGCACAUCAUCAAAAUGUGCUGAUAUACUGUAUAUGGCACUUUGCCACUUGUGCAGUUUGCAUUUGAGGUUUAAAAAAUGUCAUAUUGUAUUCUGUUCACAGACUAUCAGAAUCGUGUUCUCAUGUAGGGGCAGUUCUUUUUUCCAUUGAAGUUGGGGUUAAGAUGCAAGAUUCAGCUUCCUGCAAAACAGAGCAGUGCAAGUGGCUGAUCCUAUCACAUGUAAAAAAGGUAAGGUGACACAUUCACAGCAAACCAAAUGUGGGACAGAGAAUGUUAUUUUGGGACACUGUUUAACAGUAGGCUAAAUUAUGAUGUUAAUAAAUUAAAGGGAUAGUUCACCCAAAAAUGAAAAUUCUGUCAUCAUUUACUAACUCUCAUGUUGUUACAAACCCACAUAAAUUUCUUUGUUCUGGUGAACACAAAGGAAGACAUUUUGAGAAAUGUUCGUAACCAAACCGUUUGUGGACCCCAUUUACUUACAUAGUAUUCCUUUAUCCUGCUAUGGAAGUAAAUGGGGUCCACGAACGGUUUAAUUACAAACAUUUUUCUAAACAUCUUCCUUAGUGUUCAUCAGAACAAAGAAACUUAUGUGGGUUUGUAACAACAUGAGAGUGAGUAAAUGAUGACAGAAUUUUCAUUUUGGGUGAACUAUCCAUUUUUGAUGUCUAUAUUGUGCCCCUUUGGUUAUGUCUUUGCUCUAGUUAAUUCAUCAGGACACAACAUACAGUAGACAAGUAGAUUGCUUGUCUUCAUCUACAUUUCCUCCUCUAUGAGGGGAUUUUCAUUAUAUUUCAUCAUACCUAAUGUCGGGGAUUAUUAAAGUAUUUCUAUUCUAUAUUCUGCCUUAAUCUGUGUAGCUUGUGACAUUGUGGUCAGUCACAAUUUCCCUGUUGGGCAAAGAGGAGUUAAGACAACAAAGACCCACAUAAAUACAGUUUGGCAUCUCAAUCCUGUGAUGAUAGCCUUACCUGUUUUCCUCACAGCCAUCGGAUAAAGGCAGAUUUAAACUGCAUAUAGAAAUGUUGUGGACCACAGAAAUGUGGCGUUAAUGAUCUUCUUUGUGUUAACUUAUUUUCAGAUUCCUGCUGCUCCAGUAGCUCUGAUUGACUUCUCAUCAGCAAAAGCAAAAAUAAAAAAUAAAAAAAAUAAAGCUUGACUGUUCCAUUGAUGGCAGGACAACUGACAACAAGGUUGGGAAAUCACUUCCAUGCCCAAGAGUGAAGAGAGGGUCAGAAACAUAUGCUAGGUUUUUUGAGACAUUAAACUAAAACUGUCCAAGGAGUGAAGCACUGAUGGCUAGGGAGCCUUACCACAAAUAAUUCAUCCCCAAAUCUUGCAUGCUUCCUAAAUCUGUUCUUGAAUACAGAACACCAGAUACUCUGCAGCUACCCCCCAAAGAGCUUGGAGAGCUAUGCCAGGAUUUCCAGCUAGAAGAGCUCACCCUGUCUCAGGUCCAGGCUGUAGAGAGGGCAACUCGAAGUCAGAGUGCAAGCAGGGUUUGGUUUAGGCAAAGAGCAGGACGUAUAAUGGCCUCAAAGCUGAAACAAGUUCUUAAGACCAACCCCCAGCAGCCAUCCAAGAGCUUGAUCAAGGGCAUAUGCUACCCAGAAGCAUAUAGGUUCACCACAGCCGCUGCAAGGUAUUUAGGGUUUGAAUUAGAGUAAGGCAAAGGUUAGAUUUGGGGUAUGAGGCUUGAACAAAUGAGAUAUGAACAAAUGUUUACUGUUUUCAUAGUUGAUUCAAGGUAUGGACAGCCCUGAAAGAUCAACAUUAGUUAUAGGGUUAUAAGACUAGGGUUAUGCAGGAUUAGAACUAAGUAUAGGGGUUAGGUUAAUGGCAUUUAAAUCACUGAACUUGCUCUACACAUGCAAUACAAAGUAAUAAUUUCAGUUUCAUGUGUUGCAUGUGUACUGUGUACAGUUAUAGAUGCAAACAUGAACCACAAGCCAGAAGAGCAUAUGAGAAGCUGAUGGUUCGGGAGCAUGCAGGCUUCUCCUGUAAGGGCAGUGGUCUCUGGCUGAACACCAAGUGGCCAUACAUGGGGUCCUCCCCUGAUGGGAUUGUCGCUUGUGACUGUCACAAAACUGAAAUCUGCGAGAUUGAGGUAAAUUUACAGUCUCUUUUGUAGUAAAUUUAGUAUAUCUCGAGUAUGAGUCAAGUCUCAAGUCCUAAACUGAGCAAAAAGGCAGAAAUUAUCUUUGUUAAAGGAAAACGAAUCUU
Long non-coding RNA from Cyprinus carpio carpio, 3179 nucleotides. The record is from Ensembl. NCBI's taxonomy places the organism in Eukaryota, Metazoa, Chordata, Actinopteri, Cypriniformes, Cyprinidae.